GAUGAACGCUGGCGGCGUGCCUAAUACAUGCAAGUCGAGCGAACGGACGAGAAGCUUGCUUCUUUGAUGUUAGCGGCGGACGGGUGAGUAACACGUGGAUAACCUACCUAUAAGACUGGGAUAACUUCGGGAAACCGUAGCUAAUACCGGAUAAUAUUUUGAACCGUAUGGUUCAAUGGUGAAAUACGGUCUUGCUGUCACUUAUAGAUGGAUCCGCGCUGCAUUAGCUAGUUGGUAAGGUAACGGCUUACCAAGGCAACGAUGCAUAGCCGACGUGAGAGAGGGGUCGCCCACACUGGAACGGAGACAGGGACAAUACGACUACGGGAGGCAGCAGAAGGGAAUCUUACGCAAUAGGGGAAAACCUGACGGAGCAACGGCGCGUGAGUGAUGGAAGUCUUGGGAUCGUAAAACUCUGUUUUUAGGGAAGAACCUAUGUGUAAGUAACUGUGCACAGCUUGACGGUAACUAAUCAGAAAGCAACGGCUAACUACGUG
Molecule: ribosomal RNA, 497 nt
Filed under: uncultured bacterium
Lineage: Bacteria
Description: partial 16S ribosomal RNA
Rfam family: Bacterial small subunit ribosomal RNA
Source: RNAcentral